GAACGGCAGCAUGAUCUAGCUUGCUAGAUUGAUGGCGAGUGGCGAACGGGUGAGUAAUACAUCGGAACGUGCCCUGUAGUGGGGGAUAACUAGUCGAAAGAUUAGCUAAUACCGCAUACGACCUGAGGGUGAAAGUGGGGGACCGCAAGGCCUCAUGCUAUAGGAGCGGCCGAUGUCUGAUUAGCUAGUUGGUGGGGUAAAGGCCCACCAAGGCGACGAUCAGUAGCUGGUCUGAGAGGACGAUCAGCCACACUGGGACUGAGACACGGCCCAGACUCCUACGGGAGGCAGCAGUGGGGAAUUUUGGACAAUGGGCGAAAGCUGGAUCCAGCAAUGCCGCGUGUGUGAGAAGGCCUUCGGGUUGUAAAGCACUUUUGUCCGGAAAGAAAUGGCUCCGGUUAAUACCUGGGGUCGAUGACGGUACCGGAAGAAUAAGGACCGGCUAACUACGUGCCAGCAGCCGCGGUAAUACGUAGGGUCCAAGCGUUAAUCGGAAUUACUGGGCGUAAAGCGUGCGCAGGCGGUUGUGCAAGACCGAUGUGAAAUCCCCGAGCUUAACUUGGGAAUUGCAUUGGUGACUGCACGGCUAGAGUGUGUCAGAGGGGGGUAGAAUUCCACGUGUAGCAGUGAAAUGCGUAGAGAUGUGGAGGAAUACCGAUGGCGAAGGCAGCCCCCUGGGAUAACACUGACGCUCAUGCACGAAAGCGUGGGGACCAAACAGGAUUAGAUACCCUGGUAGUCCACGCCCUAAACGAUGUCAACUAGUUGUUGGGGAUUCAUUUCCUUAGUAACGUAGUAACGC
RNAcentral lists this ribosomal RNA (802 nucleotides) under uncultured Ralstonia sp. RNAcentral describes it as "bacterial SSU rRNA". It matches the Rfam family "Bacterial small subunit ribosomal RNA", at positions 64 to 858 of the family's 1533-position model. The record is from RNAcentral. Lineage: Bacteria; Pseudomonadati; Pseudomonadota; Betaproteobacteria; Burkholderiales; Burkholderiaceae.